UAAGGAAUAUUGCUCAAUGGGAGAAAUCCUGAAGCAGCAACGCCGCGUGGAGGAUGAAGGGUCUAUGACUUGUAAACUCCUGUAAAGAAGGAAAAAAUUCCCAUUUGAUGGGAGAUGAUGGUACUUCUGGAGUAAGCCCCGGCUAACUACGUGCCAGCAGCCGCGGUAAUACGUAGGGUGCGAGCGUUAAUCGGAAUUACUGGGCGUAAAGCGUGCGCAGGCGGUUUGUUAAGUCUGAUGUGAAAGCCCCGGGCUCAACCUGGGAAUGGCAUUGGAAACUGGCAAGCUCGAGUGCGGCAGAGGGGGGUGGAAUUCCGCGUGUAGCAGUGAAAUGCGUAGAGAUGCGGAGGAACACCGAUGGCGAAGGCAGCCCCCUGGGCCGACACUGACGCUCAGGCACGAAAGCGUGGGGAGCAAACA
Molecule: ribosomal RNA, 420 nt
Filed under: uncultured bacterium
Lineage: Bacteria
Description: bacterial SSU rRNA
Rfam family: Bacterial small subunit ribosomal RNA
Source: RNAcentral